RNAcentral lists this ribosomal RNA (497 nucleotides) under uncultured bacterium. Its description in RNAcentral is "partial 16S ribosomal RNA". It matches the Rfam family "Bacterial small subunit ribosomal RNA", at positions 28 to 507 of the family's 1533-position model. The record is from RNAcentral.
GAUGAACGCUGGCGGCGUGCCUAAUACAUGCAAGUCGAGCGAACGGACGAGAAGCUUGCUUCUCUGAUGUUAGCGGCGGACGGGUGAGUAACACGUUGAUAACCUACCUAUAAGACUGGGAUAACUUCGGGAAACCGGAGCUAAUACCGGAUAAUAUUUUGAACCGCAUGGUUCAAAAGUGAAAGGCGGUCUUGCUGUCACUUAUAGAUGGAUCCGCACUGCAUUAGCUAGUUGGUAAGGUAACGGCUUACCAAGGCAACGAUGCAUAGCCGACCUGAGAGGGUGAUCGGCCACACUGGAACUGAGACACGGUCCAGACUCCUACGGGAGGCAGCAGUAGGGAAUCUUCCGCAAUGGGCGAAAGCCUGACGGAGCAACGCCGCGUGAGUGAUGAAGGUCUUCGGAUCGUAAAACUCUGUUAGUAGGGAAGAACAUAUGUGUAAGUAACUGUGCACAUCUUGACGGUACCUAAUCAGAAAGCCACGGCUAACUACGUG